CCGUAGGUGAACCUGCGGAAGGAUCAUUGUCGAAACCUGCCCAGCAGAACGACCAGCGAACAUGUUUAAUCCAUUCGAGCGUCGGCGAGGUGUCGGGAGCCUUGUGCUUCCGCCCUCUCUCGCUCGAGCCAAGGGAGAUGUCAUCGUGGCCUCUUCCUCGGCAAAUAAACGAACCCCGGCGCGAAAAGCGUCAAGGAACAUAACUACAUAUGAGCUCCUGCUUGCCGCCCGGUUAGCCGGUGCGCGGGUUUGGUGCCAUGUCAUAACAUUAAACGACUCUCGGCAACGGAUAUCUCGGCUCUCGCAUCGAUGAAGAACGUAGCGAAAUGCGAUACUUGGUGUGAAUUGCAGAAUCCCGUGAACCAUCGAGUCUUUGAACGCAAGUUGCGCCCGAGGCUUUUGGCCGAGGGCACGUCUGCCUGGGCGUCACGCAUCGCAACCCCCCCAACCACCACGUGAGGGAGGAUGAUGGUUUCCCGUGCCUCACCGGGCGCGGUUGGCCUAAAUAAGGAGCCUAAGGCAUCGGUUUGCCGCGGCGAUAGGUGGAGAACAAGGCCUCGGCCGUGGAAUCAACCGGUCGCGCAUACCUUUGAAUAUAGAGCUCGCAGGACCCAUUGUUGUCGCCUUGUUGCGUCACAAACGUUGCGACCCCAGGUCAGGCGGGGCUACCCGCU
The sequence is a ribosomal RNA, 674 nucleotides long. The stretch from base 275 to 429 matches the Rfam family "5.8S ribosomal RNA".